RNAcentral lists this ribosomal RNA (449 nucleotides) under uncultured bacterium. RNAcentral describes it as "partial 16S ribosomal RNA". It matches the Rfam family "Bacterial small subunit ribosomal RNA", at positions 354 to 796 of the family's 1533-position model. The record is from RNAcentral.
GUCGAGAAUCUUUCACAAUGGGGGCAACCCUGAUGGAGCGACGCCGCGUGGAGGAUAAGGUCUUCGGAUUGUAAACUCCUGUCAUGCGUGAACAAGGUUGCUUGGUUAAUACCUGGGCAAAUUGAUGGUAACGCAAGAGGAAGAGACGGCUAACUCUGUGCCAGCAGCCGCGGUAAUACAGAGGUCUCAAGCGUUGUUCGGAAUCACUGGGCGUAAAGGGUGCGUAGGUGGCGUGGUAAGUCAGAUGUGAAAGCCCGGGGCUCAGCCGCGGAACUGCAUCCGAUACUGCAAUGCUAGAGUACUGGAGAGGUGACUAGAAUUCUCGGUGUAGCAGUGAAAUGCGUAGAUAUCGAGAGGAAUACCAAAGGCGUAGGCAGGUCACUGGACAGUUACGGAAACUGAGGCACGAAGGCCAGGGGAGCGAACGGGAUUAGAUUCCCGUGUAGUCC